AAUCACGGAGGAGACAUUGCCGCGAAAAAUAAUGGGAAAAGAGGGUUUUCUGAGACCGUUGAUCUCAAGCUGAAUCUUUCAUCGACGGCUCUGGAUUCGGUUUCCGAAGUUGAUAUACAGAAUUUGAAGGAGAAAGUCGUAAAACCACCUGCCAAGUAAGAAACAAUAUUUCAAUCUCCAUUUCAGUUCAUAUUUAUUUGUUUUCUAGAAUUACUUUAUAUAUAGAGAGAGAUAGUUUGUGAUUCUUUAUUCAAGUAGAUGUUCUGAAUGUAUUGAAAUAAUUAGAUUAUCUGUGAAUAGAUUCGGGAAAAUUAGAUAAUACGAGCCGGUCACGUACGAUUUGUAGAUGGAUGUGCUUUAACACGACGAUCUUAUAAAUAUAGGUUUUUUUUUUUUUUCUAAAUUUAAUAAGUGAAUUAGAAUAGGUUAUAGAGCAAUUCUGAAAACAAUUUUCGUCUGUGAUUUUUUCACUUUGUUUUCUUUGGUUCGCCGCUCCAUGGUUUUUCUUUUUCAACAAAUUUUCAGAAGAUCAUUUAUAUUUGAUUAAUAAAUAUUCUUCGCUAGGUUGAGUUAGUGUUCUGUUUGAAAAUGAUUUUGGUCGGGAAGAACUAAGAAAAAUACAAAACAUAAGGAAUCUUACUUUAUCUACGAAAAAAGAUUAAAGAUUAUAUUAAUUGUUUGGACAACUACAGCCACCUAACAUCCGACACGUGCUAAGCAACUAGAUAAAUAACAACUUUAUAGAUUAAGUAAUGCAACUGAUAUUAUAAAAUUAAAUAUCUUUACGGAAUUUCAGGACACAAGUUGUAGGAUGGCCACCGGUACGAUCUUUCCGGAAGAACGUCAUGUCCGGCCAAAAGCAAACCACCGAAGUUGCAGCUGAAGGCACCGAGAAGACUUGCGGCAGUAGCGGAGCCACCUCCUCCGCCAAUGCCGCCGUGGCUUACGUGAAGGUUAGCAUGGACGGC
RNAcentral lists this long non-coding RNA (968 nucleotides) under Eutrema salsugineum. RNAcentral's name for it is "long non-coding RNA (ESAL_LNC001687)". The record is from RNAcentral. Lineage: Eukaryota; Viridiplantae; Streptophyta; Magnoliopsida; Brassicales; Brassicaceae.